This 366-nucleotide ribosomal RNA is filed under the name Triticum aestivum (bread wheat). RNAcentral's name for it is "partial small subunit ribosomal RNA". Lineage: Eukaryota; Viridiplantae; Streptophyta; Magnoliopsida; Poales; Poaceae. The record is from RNAcentral.
AUGGGAUUGGACCAGCUCGAACGUGUCCGAAUAGCCAAUCUCCUUAAUUGUAAACUAGGGAGUUUUUCAAUUAAGUACCUAGGGCUAUCGAUCGCGCCUAAAAACCUUACCAUCUCCGAAUGGGAACCGCUGUAUGGUAAGGUUGCCAAUAGGGUUAGCCCAUGGUGGGGACGCUUUAUGUCUUCGGCGGCUCGGUUAAUUCUUACCAACUCGAGCCUGUCUUCCCUCCCUCUUUUUACGAUGGGGAUGUUUUUGUUAGCUGAUGGGGUGCAUGCGAAGUUAGAUACGCCGCGCUCAAAAUUCUUUUGGGAAGGAGCGGGUCACAAAAGGAAAUACCAUAUGUUAAAAUGGGCGGCGGUCUGCUGA